Molecule: ribosomal RNA, 878 nt
Filed under: Geopyxis carbonaria
Lineage: Eukaryota; Fungi; Ascomycota; Pezizomycetes; Pezizales; Tarzettaceae
Description: LSU rRNA
Rfam family: Eukaryotic large subunit ribosomal RNA
Source: RNAcentral
AACUUAAGCAUAUCAAUAAGCGGAGGAAAAGAAACCAACAGGGAUUGCCUUAGUAACUGCGAGUGAAGCGGCAAAAGCUCAAAUUUGAAAUCUGGGGCCUCACAGCCUCCGAAUUGUAAUUUCACGAUACGUUUUCGACUGAAGGCUCUGCUUUAAGUUCCUUGGAACAGGACGUCACAGAGGGUGAGAAUCCCGUGAUAGGUGGAGCCUGAUGCAUAUGAUACGUAUUCAACGAGUCGAGUUGUUUGGGAAUGCAGCUCAAAAUGGGAGGUAAAUUUCUUCUAAAGCUAAAUAUUGGCGAGAGACCGAUAGCGCACAAGUAGAGUGAUCGAAAGAUGAAAAGCACUUUGAAAAGAGAGUUAAAAAGUACGUGAAAUUGUUGAAAGGGAAGCGCUUGAGACCAGACUCAAUCUGUAGUGAUCAAUUUGGCUUCUGUCAGAUGCACUUGCUACUUAUUGGGACAGCAUCGGUUUUGGCGGUGGGAUAAAGUCUUGAGGAAUGUAGCUAUCUUCGGGUAGUGUUAUAGCCUCUUGAGUAAUGCCACCAGSUGGGACCGAGGACCGCGCCGCAAGGCUAGGAUGCUGUCAUAAUGGUCUUCAGCGACCCGUCUUGAAACACGGACCAAGGAGUCUAACAUCUAUGCGAGUGUUCGGGUGGAAAACCCUUGCGCGUAAUGAAAGUGAACGGAGGUGGGAACCUUAGGGUGCACCAUCGACCGAUCCUGAUGUCUUCGGAAGGAUUUGAGUAUGAGCAUAGCUGUUGGGACCCGAAAGAUGGUGAACUAUGCCUGAAUAGGGUGAAGCCAGAGGAAACUCUGGUGGAGGCUCGCAGCGGUUCUGACGUGCAAAUCGAUCGUCAAAUUUGGGUAUAGGGGCGAA